This 478-nucleotide ribosomal RNA is filed under the name uncultured Planctomycetales bacterium. RNAcentral describes it as "bacterial SSU rRNA". It matches the Rfam family "Bacterial small subunit ribosomal RNA", at positions 364 to 832 of the family's 1533-position model. Lineage: Bacteria; Pseudomonadati; Planctomycetota; Planctomycetia; Planctomycetales. The record is from RNAcentral.
UUUCGCAAUGCCCGAAAGGGUGACGAAGCGACGCCGCGUGCGGGAAGAAGGCCUUCGGGUUGUGAACCGCUGUCGGGAGUUAAGAAAUGCAAGGAUGUUAAUAGCGUUCUUGCUUGACUAAGGCUCCGGAGGAAGCCACGGCUAACUCUGUGCCAGCAGCCGCGGUAAUACAGAGGCGGCAAGCGUUGUUCGGAAUUAUUGGGCGUAAAGAGCACGUAGGCGGCUAUGUAAGUCGGUUGUGAAAGCCUUCCGCUCAACGGAAGAACAGCAUCCGAUACUGCAUAGCUUGAGUGCGGGAGGGGAGAGUGGAACUUCUGGUGGAGCGGUGAAAUGCGUAGAUAUCAGAAGGAACGCCGGCGGCGAAAGCGACUCUCUGGCCCGCAACUGACGCUGAGUGUGCGAAAGCUAGGGGAGCAAACGGGAUUAGAUACCCCGGUAGUCCUAGCCGUAAACGAUGGGCACUAAGUAGAGGGGUUUU